GAUGAACGCUGGCGGCGUGCCUAAUACAUGCAAGUCGAGCGAACAGACGAGGAGCUUGCUCCUUCGACGUUAGCGGCGGACGGGUGAGUAACACGUAGGUAACUUACCUAUAAGACUGGGAUAACUUCGGGAAACCGGAGCCAAUACCGGAUAAUAUUUCGAACCGCAUGGUUCGUUAGUGAAAGAUGGCUUUGCUAUCACUUAUAGAUGUACCUGCGCCGUAUUAGCUAGUUGGUAAGGUAACGGCUUACCAAGGCAACGAUACGUAGCCGACCUGAGAGGGUGAUCGGCCACACUGGAACUGAGACACGGUCCAGACUCCUACGGGAGGCAGCAGUAGGGAAUCUUCCGCAAUGGGCGAAAGCCUGACGGAGCAACGCCGCGUGAGUGAUGAAGGUCUUCGGAUCGUAAAACUCUGUUAUUAGGGAAGAACAAACGUGUAAGUAACUGUGCACGUCUUGACGGUACCUAAUCAGAAAGCCACGGCUAACUACGUG
RNAcentral lists this ribosomal RNA (497 nucleotides) under uncultured bacterium. RNAcentral describes it as "partial 16S ribosomal RNA". It matches the Rfam family "Bacterial small subunit ribosomal RNA", at positions 28 to 507 of the family's 1533-position model. The record is from RNAcentral.